RNAcentral lists this unclassified non-coding RNA (365 nucleotides) under Acacia pedleyi. RNAcentral's name for it is "partial external transcribed spacer". The record is from RNAcentral. Lineage: Eukaryota; Viridiplantae; Streptophyta; Magnoliopsida; Fabales; Fabaceae.
GUGCCCGUCCACCGAACGGUCGGCGGGCGAUCCGCGUCGGUCGCGCUGGGUGGUAUGGUUCCCCAGAGGCCGGUUCUUGUGCUGCCUACCCCUUCAGGGGAAGAGUUCCAAACUMGAUGUAAGCCUCCAUCCGGCGCCCUCCAAAGGGCGCGGGAGGACAACGGAGCACCCCCCGCGUUCCACCGAGCCUCCUCGGUCGCGUGGCCCGCGGGGACGUGCGAUGCUCUCGGACCCAGCGAACGCCGUGGGCGAGGACUCACGUCCCGGUCCCAAGUGAAGCAACGGUAUAACGCACGACGGCCGCUCCCGCCCCCCGACCGCCCCGGCGGCGCGGGGGCGAAGGCGCGGCGUCGCUGAGGAAUGCU